ACAGCACAUUAGCUUUACCAAAGGACAAGCCUUUCCUGAAAAGAUCAAUAAAGACAAAUUGUUCUUGUUUAAAACAAAACAAAACAAAACAAAACAAAACAAAACAAAACUUUAUUUUCCUAGAAUCACAGAAUCCAUUUUUACACCAGUAAAAGCUGAAAGGAAGCUCUAACGUUGUGAAGUCUGUUGCUGUUCAUGGAACAUUUCAGAUCAUUGAGGAAAUAAUGAAUGGAAACCCUGAUGAGACCAAUGCAAGUUUUGUAGUUAAAGCCUAUGUUCUUGGCCACUAAAUAAAUGAAUAAAAUGACUAAGAGCAUAAGUGUAGAAAAGCAGACAAGUGUGGUAACAGGUAUCAUGGAUAUAUUGAUAUCAUAUUUUACAACUGAAGGUGUGGAUAUUUGCUUCUGACAUUACAAUAUUUGCUUUACAAUUAUGACACUUGCAGGAAAUGAGAAGAA
Molecule: long non-coding RNA, 458 nt
Filed under: Anser brachyrhynchus (Pink-footed goose)
Lineage: Eukaryota; Metazoa; Chordata; Aves; Anseriformes; Anatidae
Description: lncRNA (ENSABRG00000005748.1)
Source: RNAcentral